CAUGGGAGCUGCCCCACAGCACACAGAGGCCUUGGGAAAGCCCUGUGCAAAGUACAGAGGUGCCCAGACAGGACUAGGAAGGCACACAUCCUGCUCGUCCUCCACAUACCUGAAGCCAGUACUUCAGUACCUCGCUACGUGCAGAUCCGCAGGAAAUGACAAUUCUAUUUUAAAGACUUUUGCAUUUUUUAACUUCAAGUAAAAUGCCAGUUUUUCUAAGCUGGCUCUGAGAAGGAACACAGGAAUCUCCAUGGAGCUCUGCUGGAGCUGCAGACCAUCUCAGCCCUGUGACUUCUAAUGCUCUGGCAGCCCAGCAAUUAUUGCUACCAGAAGGUGAGCUGGCAAGAAGUGAGGCUGCUGUCUGCCAGAACCUUGUCUGACAUGAAGCAUUCCUUCAAAGGCAAAUCAUCUGCACUAAGCUGACAGUUCUGCAAGUCCUGGGAGGAAGAAAACACAAAUUCUAUGGCCCUGCAUGAACAAAAUAAUGAAGUGCAUUCUUCAGUGUUCUUGGUUUUGUGGACUUUAUGUGCAAAGGAGCUGCUGCAGAUUCCCAAGGCAGGGAAGGAGGAACAUUGCAAGGUCAUAGGAAUAGCAUGGAAAGGGACCAACUGGGUGGGGAAAGGUGUCUCCCACAUCAAGUCUUUUAUUGAAGAUGUCUGGUUUAACUGGGGUUUGGUUUCUUUGCAACUUAAUGCAAGUGACAAUGAGGAGACUUCUCCUCAUUUAGAUGCUUCUGAAUUUCCCAUCAGUUCAGUUUGCUGUAUGAAUUAAUGACUAAAACAGGGAUGCUAAAAAGCAUUAGAGGCCACUAUUGCCAGGUCAAAGGCCUGUGUUUAAUCCAGAGGAAGGCAGAGCAUUUCAAACUAAGUUAAAACUAAGCUGAAAGCUGCAUUUCUAUUUUUGUUAACUCUGUUUAGUUAUCGAUAUUAACUGCCUGUUUACAUCUCCCUCGUGCUUUAAAUGAGUGAACUUUGAACGCUGCUCCCAUGUUUUCUCAUUCAGUUCCAUUGCAGUGCAGUGCCCAUAGAUAAGCCCUGUACAUAUCACCUUUCACUCUGUGGAUCUCCUGUAGAUGGUUUGCAGUGCGGAGCAGUGACUGACUCAGCCAUGAGGUGGCAUAUGGUGACACCCCCUGCUGCCAUCAAAAAUAACUCUUCCUUCACACACAAGUUGGUGUUAUCAUCCCUCUGUCUCUUCCCAUCUCCUCUCCUCCAUUCCCUGUGCACUCCUCUUCCUAUUAGGGAUUGUUCAUUCUCCUUAUUGCCCAAAGACCCUUCAUCCAUACACCAUGCUAUUGCCCCAUCUCUCUGCAUGGAAAUCUUUUCCCACUAAUGCUGCAGUUUCUUAUAUCACAGAUUAGAGCUGCUUUUGCCUCCCACACGUAAAGAACUUCCACAGUGCAGCGUCUUUUAUCUCUAUCCACAUCAGGAGGCUGCUCAUCAAGUUUCCGGACGAGCCUGCUUGCUAAUGGAGCUGAUUUGCAGCGGGAGCAGCUACCGGCAGUUGGGAUGUGCUGGGGUUGAAGGUCUCCAUCCCUCUUGUGACUAAUCCCCGUCAUUGCAACUCAGGAGAAGAGCUUGUGCUCGCAGCGCUUAUUGAAGAGCACCCUGCUGCAAGGAGGCUGUGUCUCAUGGAGAGCAUAGAGGAAAGCAGGUCAGAGACUUGUCGUCUGCAUGGAAACCACACAUGGGAGUGACUUGAUAUGCUGCUCCAGCAAAGCCCUGAACGCUUUAAUUCUGGCAUCUACUUGCCUGGAUUUGAUGGUGUUAUAGAAAGACUUUUAUUUUAAGAUCGCUGUGGCAAAAAUCUGUGUUUUGCUGAUCCCGGUUUUAAUUUGGACUUGUUCUACUAAUAGCAAACUUCAGUGUGUUCUGAAUUAGCUCUUGCAGUAGGAGUGUUAGUCCAUGAGGUAGGACAUAAACAUCAUAUGGCUUUCUACUUUACUGGGAGAUAAUUUGAUACAUGAUCAUAGGCAUGGUAUAGGAAUAGCAUUUAAAAUGUGCAGAUUGACUUCCAAAUUCAGCCAUCCUGAAAGUCAUUCCUCUCAUCUUUUGCUGACCUCGCUCCAUCAGUUGUCUUCAAUCUCUAGUAAUUUCACUGUUCCAGCUGUGCCAAACAACUGGAAUGAGCCCAAGUGCUACAGCACCUGGUGCCCUUCUUUGUUUCCUUGAAACAAUGUUCUUCAUGGCAAAACAGUAUCUGGAAGAGAGCAACAGUUACAGUCCUCGUGUUACAUGGGAAGCCAGAGUUCAGCCAUCCGGACCAGUUUAGCAAAGCUCUCGUAGGUGCCAUUUUCCCUGAUUUUCUCAUCACUUGCCAAGAUGUCCUAUGAGUACAGAGCCCACAUCUGUGAAAUCCUGCUGUGCUGAUUCACACAUACGUACCCUGUGAAAUAUCUCUAUCUCAUUUAUCUACAGCAUCGUAUAAAGCCAAACAUUGAGAGAGAGAUUAGGACUCACCUUAUGUCCUUCUCCCACAGUCCCAGGGAGCUGGAUGUCUCAGAACAGGGAGCAGGGGGCAGCUCUGGUCCUGUUGUGCUGGACAUGGUACUGCAGAACUGCACGGCAUUGAACCAUUAUUUCUGUCAGUUUGUGUAGUAAUUCAUUGGUACAGUCUGAUGGGAUGGAUUGGCUGGGAUCCUUUGAUGCUUUGAAAAUACUAUAAACUGGAAGAAAAACAAGGAGCUAAUAUACUCCUACAAACAUGCUGACAUGAAGUUUAAGCUACUCUGUCAGCAGCAGGUCAGCCAACCUAUUGUGUUUCUGGAGCUUUGGGUUUCUUUCUUAUGGAUGCUUGCUGACAGCAGCAGAACUGCAUUGACAAUGAAGACAUUACCUGCCAGAAGAUCUCUCCCAGGGCUCAGCCCAUAGUGAGAAAGGAGGGCUUCCCUUUAUUGGCUUCCUUUCUUCUUGUAAGUUCCCAAUUUUGCAUUUUAUUAUUUUUAUGGCUGAAAACCCACUUCAGGGCUUUUAAAAUACCAAUCUGUCUUAGUGUCUAAUGGAGACACCUGUAAUUGUUUAUUUCUGCUGGGUAGCACUUUUAGUACUGCCUGUUUGAAGCCUGGUUUACCCUGGCUGCUGGGGCUGCCUAUUGCAAUAAGCAGAACGGUCAUUAUAUGAGAACGAAUUUGUCUACUCUCAUCUGGUAAGACAACAUACAAGCCAUCCCUACAGCUGAAGACAGCAGUGGCUGUAUUUGGAAGAAGAGUGGCGGCAAAGGAGACAGUAGAGCUACCAGUGGUGCACGGUCACUGUUUUAUGAUUGCAUUUCCAGAAGCAGGAGGAUUGAAGUCUUGAGGAUUUCCCCUGUGCUGCUGACUCCCUGAUAACCUCAGUUCUUCUUCUGUGCAGGCUUGUCUGAGUCCCUCCUCUUCCUUCUUCAGAUGGUUUGAGCAAAGAACACAUCAAAGUUGUUGACGUGUUUCUCAUCAACAAAACACCAGCAGCCAAGUUAUCUAAAGCCAUUUUCUGCCUCCCUGCCACUGGGAAGAAAGUGCCUUCAGGGGUUCUCAUUGUGUACCCCAGGAGUACACAGCAAAUAACUCCUGAGUAAACAGAGGCACAGUCAGAAUCCCCCAUCCUCACCUCUGAAACAGUUUGUAUUCACAAUAAAACCCCUGCUUUGAUCUCC
This is a non-coding RNA of Coturnix japonica (Japanese quail), 3630 nucleotides long. The record is from RefSeq and is a predicted model, not a curated record. NCBI's taxonomy places the organism in Eukaryota, Metazoa, Chordata, Aves, Galliformes, Phasianidae.